RNAcentral lists this ribosomal RNA (251 nucleotides) under uncultured Oscillospiraceae bacterium. RNAcentral describes it as "partial 16S ribosomal RNA". It matches the Rfam family "Bacterial small subunit ribosomal RNA", at positions 90 to 339 of the family's 1533-position model. Lineage: Bacteria; Bacillati; Bacillota; Clostridia; Eubacteriales; Oscillospiraceae. The record is from RNAcentral.
ACUUAGUGGCGAACGGGUGAGUAAUGCGUGAGCAACCUGCCUUUCAGAGGGGGACAACAGCUGGAAACGGCUGCUAAUACCGCAUAACACAUUCAGGCGGCAUCACCUGGAUGUCAAAGGAGCGAUCCGCUGAGAGAUGGGCUCACGUCUGAUUAGCUAGUUGGUGAGGUAACGGCUCACCAAGGCGACGAUCAGUAGCCGGUCUGAGAGGAUGAACGGCCACAUUGGGACUGAGAUACGGCCCAGACUCC